RNAcentral lists this ribosomal RNA (837 nucleotides) under uncultured bacterium. Its description in RNAcentral is "bacterial SSU rRNA". It matches the Rfam family "Bacterial small subunit ribosomal RNA", at positions 94 to 946 of the family's 1533-position model. The record is from RNAcentral.
AGUGGCGGACGGCUGAGUAACACGUGAGGAACUUGCCCUCCGGUGGGGGACAACCACGGGAAACCGUGGCUAAUACCGCAUGAUGUCAUGUUUCAUAAGGGAUGUGACCAAAGAUUUCGGUUGCCGGAGGAGAGUCUCGCGGCCUAUCAGCUAGUUGGUGAGGUAAAGGCCCACCAAGGCGAUGACGGGUAGCCGGUCUGAGAGGAUGAUCGGCCAGGGGGGGACUGAGACACGGCCCCCACUCCUACGGGAGGCAGCAGCAGGGAAUCUUGCGCAAUGGGCGAAAGCCUGACGCAGCGACGCCGCGUGGGGGAUGAAGGCUUUCGGGUUGUAAACCCCUUUUGCUGGGGAAGAAGAUCUGACGGUACCCAGCGAAUAAGGCCCGGCCAACUACGUGCCAGCAGCCGCGGUAAAACGUAGGGGCCAAGCGUUGUCCGGAAUUAUUGGGCGUAAAGGGUGCGUAGGCGGCCCGGUCAGUCUCGUGUGAAAGCUCCCGGCCCAACCGGGAGAGGUCACGGGAUACUGCCGGGCUUGAGGAUAGCAGAGGAAGGUGGAAUUCCCGGUGUAGCGGUGAUAUGUGUAGAUAUCGGGAGGAACACCUGUGGCGAAAGCGACCUUCUGGGCUAUUUCUGACGCUGAGGCACGAGAGCGUGGGGAGCGAACCGGAUUAGAUACCCGGGUAGUCCACGCCCUAAACGAUGAGUGCUAGAUAUGGGGGGUAUCGACCCCCUCCGUGUCGAAGCUAACGCAUUAAGCACUCCGCCUGGGGAGUACGGCCGCAAGGCUAAAACUCAAAGGAAUUGACGGGGGCCCGCACAAGCAGCGGAGCGUGUGGUU